This 585-nucleotide ribosomal RNA is filed under the name uncultured bacterium. RNAcentral describes it as "bacterial SSU rRNA". It matches the Rfam family "Bacterial small subunit ribosomal RNA", at positions 57 to 666 of the family's 1533-position model. The record is from RNAcentral.
GCAGUCGACUCGAGUCUUCGGACUUGGGUGGCGCACGGGUGAGUAACGCGUAAAGAACUUGCCUCUUAGACCGGGACAACAUCUGGAAACGGAUGCUAAUACCGGAUAUUAUGGUUUUUUCGCAUGGAGGAAUCAUGAAAGCUAGAUGCGCUAAGAGAGAGCUUUGCGUCCCAUUAGCUAGUUGGUGAGGUAACGGCCCACCAAGGCAAUGAUGGGUAGCCGGCCUGAGAGGGUGAACGGCCACAAGGGGACUGAGACACGGCCCUUACUCCUACGGGAGGCAGCAGUGGGGAAUAUUGGACAAUGGACCACAAGUCUGAUCCAGCAAUUCUGUGUGCACGAUGACGUUUUUCGGAAUGUAAAGUGCUUUCAGUCGGGAAGAAGUCAGUGACGGUACCGACAGAAGAAGCGACGGCUAAAUACGUGCCAGCAGCCGCGGUAAUACGUAUGUCGCAAGCGUUAUCCGGAUUUAUUGGGCGUAAAGCGCGUCUAGGCGGCAAGGAAAGUCUGAUGUGAAAAUGCGGAGCUCAACUCCGUAUGGCGUUGGAAACUGCCUUACUAGAGUACUGGAAAGGUAUGGCGGAA